RNAcentral lists this ribosomal RNA (474 nucleotides) under uncultured bacterium. Its description in RNAcentral is "bacterial SSU rRNA". It matches the Rfam family "Bacterial small subunit ribosomal RNA", at positions 1 to 525 of the family's 1533-position model. The record is from RNAcentral.
UAGAGUUUGAUCAUGGCUCAGAGCGAACGCUGGCGGCAGGCUUAACACAUGCAAGUCGAGCGGAUGUAGCAAUACAUCAGCGGCAGACGGGUGAGUAACACGUGGGAACGUACCUUUUGGUUCGGAACAACACAGGGAAACUUGUGCUAAUACCGGAUGAGCCCUUACGGGGAAAGAUUUAUCGCCGAAAGAUCGGCCCGCGUCUGAUUAGCUAGUUGGUGAGGUAAUGGCUCACCAAGGCGACGAUCAGUAGCUGGUCUGAGAGGAUGAUCAGCCACAUUGGGACUGAGACACGGCCCAAACUCCUACGGGAGGCAGCAGUGGGGAAUAUUGGACAAUGGGCGCAAGCCUGAUCCAGCCAUGCCGCGUGAGUGAUGAAGGCCCUAGGGUUGUAAAGCUCUUUUGUGCGGGAAGAUAAUGACGGUACCGCAAGAAUAAGCCCCGGCUAACUUCGUGCCAGCAGCCGCGGUAAUG